AUUCCAUUCCGAACUCAGAAGUGAAACGAAAUAGCGCCGAUGGUAGUGUGGGGUUUCCCCAUGUGAGAGUAGGACAUCGCCAGGCU
This 86-nucleotide ribosomal RNA is filed under the name Vibrio parahaemolyticus 10296. Lineage: Bacteria; Pseudomonadati; Pseudomonadota; Gammaproteobacteria; Vibrionales; Vibrionaceae. The record is from RNAcentral.